ACGGGCGGCAGCGGUGGGGAACAUCUAGCAAUGGGCGCUGGCCUCUUGCAGCACAGCCGCGGUGGUGAUGACGGCCGACGGGUCGUAAAACUCUGUCCUCAAGGGAGCUAAUGACGGUACUUGAGGGGGAGGCCCCGGCGCACUACGUGCCAGCAGGCGCGGUAAUACGUAGGGGGCUAGCGUUAUCCGGAUUUACUGGGCGUAAAGGGUGCGUAGGCGGUCUUUCAAGUCAGGAGUGAAGGGCUACGGCUCAACCGUAGUAAGCUCUUGAAACUGGGAGACUUGAGUGCAGGAGAGGAGAGUGGAAUUCCUAGUGUAGCGGUGAAAGGCGUAAGUAUUAGGAGGAACACAAGUGUGGAAGGCGGCUCUCUGGACGGAAACUGACGCUGAGGCACGAAAGGGUGGGGAGAAAACCGGGUUGGAUACCCAGGAAGUCCACGACUUAAACGUUUAGUAAUAGGUUUCGGGGG
This 470-nucleotide ribosomal RNA is filed under the name Clostridioides difficile. RNAcentral describes it as "bacterial SSU rRNA". It matches the Rfam family "Bacterial small subunit ribosomal RNA", at positions 341 to 829 of the family's 1533-position model. Lineage: Bacteria; Bacillati; Bacillota; Clostridia; Peptostreptococcales; Peptostreptococcaceae. The record is from RNAcentral.